UGAAGGGCAUUCUCGGCUUCUACUACAAGAGUGACACUGAUGUCCAGGAAGACUCUGAACUGCAGCUGUGGAUUUCAGACAUUUUUGAACAUGGAUUCCUUUCCCAGGAAGACACAGGAAUUCCACAGAGCUUCACCAAUGUGGCUGAGUUGGUCAAGUUUGUCACCAUGGUGAUCUUCACUUGCUCGGGACAGCACUCAGCUGUGAACACUGGACAGUAUGAUUAUGGAGGCUGGAUGCCAAACACUCCCACCAGCCUGCAGCUUCCUCCACCAACCAAAAAGGGAACAACGAGCGAGGCCACGAUACUGCAGACAUUACCUGACAUGGGCACAACAGCCAAUGGAAUGGCCGCCAUAUGGUUACUCAGCCAGCCAUCUGCUGA
This is a non-coding RNA of Plectropomus leopardus (leopard coralgrouper), 385 nucleotides long. The record is from RefSeq and is a predicted model, not a curated record. NCBI's taxonomy places the organism in Eukaryota, Metazoa, Chordata, Actinopteri, Perciformes, Serranidae.